CAAGACCUUGUCUCUAUUAAAUUAAAGAUUAAAAUAGAGUUUACAAAUUAAAAAAUGUCAACACAAAGUAAACUUUAUACUUUGUGAGCUGAGCAGGUGGCCAGCUUGCCGCCCAGCUGCUCAGCCUGGCACCAAUGGCUUGUCCUGCACCAGUGCUUGGCAUGGGGUCAGGAGGACAGUUUGGGAAGAGUCUCCAGCAGACCGGCGUGCCUGGUCUCACAGAUGACUUCCCAACCCCGUGCCAAUGGGAAACCAACAGAGGCAAGUGGCCAGGGUGGAGAGCCUGGGAGGCAGAGCAGGUGGCCCUGGCACAGCAGGUCUGGCUGAGUCUCACCUGCCUGGAGCAGGUAGAAAUGUUGGGGAAAGUGUGGCUGCCUGGGAGUCAAGGUCGCUUUGAAGGAUCCACUGAGUCAGUGUACAGAUGAGGAAACUGAGCUCAAGAGCAGGAAGGGAAAUGCCCAGAAGCCAGUGAGGAAAACAGGCAGAGUGCGAUCUGGAUUCAGCAACAGGAAAUGUGAUUUCCCCACCUAUUUGGGAGGCUGAGGCAGGAGGACUGCUUGAGCCCAGGAGUUUGAGGCCAGCCUGGGCAACGUAGAAAGACCUUCCCCACUCCCUCGCAAAAAACAAAAACAAAAAAAAAGAAUAUGAUUCCGAACACCACAGCAAGUGCAUCUCUCUGAAGUCCCCUGCUGACAGUGAAGCCCUGCUUCUCUUCACUGGCUGAUGUGCAGACAUUUAUUAGUAAAUCUUCACGGCGGUCUAGGGAGGCCUUUGACUGAGCGCUGUUCAUCGAGUCCAGCCCCGGCUUUGCAAAUAAACAGCUGACACCAAGAGAGGAGAAGCAACACGGCUGAGGCCACAGGGUGACAAAGCCUUAACAGGGGUGGUCUUUGGCCGGAGGAAGAAAUGGCUUUGUUGCUCAGGAGAGCUUUGGGAAUGGAACUCAGGGGCUUCCAAAGAGCAGCAAUCAGGAAAACAAGCAGGGAGGAUCCAGGUUUUGCAAGGCCUGAAGCCUGCACACUAGGGAGCCCCAUGCUCUGUGAAGGAGAGAACAGUGAUAAGAAGAAGAUAAUGAUUCAGCAGCUUUGCAAACAUUGUUUGGUGAAUAAACAGCCCCGUUCAGUGCACCGGUUUCUUCCUCCCAUCAUGGGACAGGUGGAAUGUGAUCUGAGAUGCCAGCCUUGGUCAGCUGGAGGGUUGUUCAGCUGCCUCGUGACUCCUCCUCGGUAAGAGUGAAAGAG
Molecule: long non-coding RNA, 1241 nt
Filed under: Homo sapiens (human)
Lineage: Eukaryota; Metazoa; Chordata; Mammalia; Primates; Hominidae
Description: HSALNT0148830
Source: RNAcentral